Molecule: ribosomal RNA, 1324 nt
Filed under: Staphylococcus aureus
Lineage: Bacteria; Bacillati; Bacillota; Bacilli; Caryophanales; Staphylococcaceae
Description: partial 23S ribosomal RNA
Rfam family: Bacterial large subunit ribosomal RNA
Source: RNAcentral
GCGCUUGGAUUUCACGUCUCAGCAGUAAGGCUGAGUAUUAGGCAAAUCCGGUACUCGUUAAGGCUGAGCUGUGAUGGGGAGAAGACAUUGUGUCUUCGAGUCGUUGAUUUCACACUGCCGAGAAAAGCCUCUAGAUAGAAAAUAGGUGCCCGUACCGCAAACCGACACAGGUAGUCAAGAUGAGAAUUCUAAGGUGAGCGAGCGAACUCUCGUUAAGGAACUCGGCAAAAUGACCCCGUAACUUCGGGAGAAGGGGUGCUCUUUAGGGUUAACGCCCAGAAGAGCCGCAGUGAAUAGGCCCAAGCGACUGUUUAUCAAAAACACAGGUCUCUGCUAAACCGUAAGGUGAUGUAUAGGGGCUGACGCCUGCCCGGUGCUGGAAGGUUAAGAGGAGUGGUUAGCUUCUGCGAAGCUACGAAUCGAAGCCCCAGUAAACGGCGGCCGUAACUAUAACGGUCCUAAGGUAGCGAAACUCCUUGUCGGGUAAGUUCCGACCCGCACGAAAGGCGUAACGAUUUGGGCACUGUCUCAACGAGAGACUCGGUGAAAUCAUAGUACCUGUGAAGAUGCAGGUUACCCGCGACAGGACGGAAAGACCCCGUGGAGCUUUACUGUAGCCUGAUAUUGAAAUUCGGCACAGCUUGUCCAGGAUAGGUAGGAGCCUUUGAAACGUGAGCGCUAGCUUACGUGGAGGCGCUGGUGGGAUACUACCCUAGCUGUGUUGGCUUUCUAACCCGCACCACUUAUCGUGGUGGGAGACAGUGUCAGGCGGGCAGUUUGACUGGGGCGGUCGCCUCCUAAAAGGUAACGGAGGCGCUCAAAGGUUCCCUCAGAAUGGUUGGAAAUCAUUCAUAGAGUGUAAAGGCAUAAGGGAGCUUGACUGCGAGACCUACAAGUCGAGCAGGGUCGAAAGACGGACUUAGUGAUCCGGUGGUUCCGCAUGGAAGGGCCAUCGCUCAACGGAUAAAAGCUACCCCGGGGAUAACAGGCUUAUCUCCCCCAAGAGUUCACAUCGACGGGGAGGUUUGGCACCUCGAUGUCGGCUCAUCGCAUCCUGGGGCUGUAGUCGGUCCCAAGGGUUGGGCUGUUCGCCCAUUAAAGCGGUACGCGAGCUGGGUUCAGAACGUCGUGAGACAGUUCGGUCCCUAUCCGUCGUGGGCGUAGGAAAUUUGAGAGGAGCUGUCCUUAGUACGAGAGGACCGGGAUGGACAUACCUCUGGUGUACCAGUUGUCGUGCCAACGGCAUAGCUGGGUAGCUAUGUGUGGACGGGAUAAGUGCUGAAAGCAUCUAAGCAUGAAGCCCCCCUCAAGAUGAGAUUUCCCA